This 433-nucleotide ribosomal RNA is filed under the name uncultured bacterium. Its description in RNAcentral is "partial 16S ribosomal RNA". It matches the Rfam family "Bacterial small subunit ribosomal RNA", at positions 29 to 507 of the family's 1533-position model. The record is from RNAcentral.
AACGAACGCUGGCGGUAUGCCUAACACAUGCAAGUCGAACGAGACCUCCGUGUCUAGUGGCGCUCACGUGCGUAACGCGUGGGAACCUGCCCGUAGGUUCGGAAUAAUUCCCCGUAGGGGGUGCUAAUACCGGGUAAUUUCUUCUGACCAAAGAUUUGUCGCCUUUGGAUGGGCCCGCGUUGGUUUAACUUGGUGGUAGUGUAAGAGCCUAUCUCGGCGACGAUCCAUAGCUGGUCUGAGAGAAUGAUCAGCCACACUGAGACGGGGCAACGGCCGAGACUACUGCGGGAGGCAGGAGUGGGGAAUAUUGCCAAACGGCAGAAAGGCUGAACCAGUAAGGCCGCGUGAGUGAUGAAGGUCUGAGGGAUGUACAGCACUUUUACCCGGCAUGAUACUGACAGUACCGGGAGAAUAAGCGCCGGCUAACUCCGUG